GUAGGUGGCAAGCGUUGUCCGGAAUUAUUGGGGCGUAAAGCGCGCGCAGGCGGUUCUUUAAGUCUGAUGUGAAAGCCCACGGGCUCAACCGUGGAGGGUCAUUGGAAACUGGAGAGCUUGAGUACAGAAGAGGAAAGCGGAAUUCCACGUGUAGCGGUGAAAUGCGUAGAGAUGUGGAGGAACACCAGUGGCGAAGGCGGCUUUCUGGUCUGUAACUGACGCUGAGGCGCGAAAGCGUGGGGAGCAAACAGGAUUAGAUACCCUGGUAGUCCACGCCGUAAACGAUGAGUGCUAAGUGUUAGGGGGUUUCCGCCCCUUAGUGCUGCAGCUAACGCAUUAAGCACUCCGCCUGGGGAGUACGGCCGCAAGGCUG
RNAcentral lists this ribosomal RNA (373 nucleotides) under uncultured organism. Its description in RNAcentral is "partial 16S ribosomal RNA". It matches the Rfam family "Bacterial small subunit ribosomal RNA", at positions 527 to 896 of the family's 1533-position model. The record is from RNAcentral.